RNAcentral lists this transfer RNA (57 nucleotides) under Neotoma lepida (desert woodrat). It matches the Rfam family "tRNA", at positions 8 to 63 of the family's 71-position model. Rfam says of the family: Transfer RNA (tRNA) molecules are approximately 80 nucleotides in length. Their secondary structure includes four short double-helical elements and three loops (D, anti-codon, and T loops). Lineage: Eukaryota; Metazoa; Chordata; Mammalia; Rodentia; Cricetidae. The record is from Rfam by way of RNAcentral.
UAGCUCAGUGGUAGAGUAUCUGUAUGGCAAACAUAUGGCCCUGGGCUUGAUCCCCAG